RNAcentral lists this long non-coding RNA (1182 nucleotides) under Astyanax mexicanus (Mexican tetra). Its description in RNAcentral is "lncRNA (ENSAMXG00005001590.1)". The record is from RNAcentral. Lineage: Eukaryota; Metazoa; Chordata; Actinopteri; Characiformes; Acestrorhamphidae.
UAAAAUGUAACAAGCACACAAACUUUAGUGCGGCUUUCAGGUGUGAAACUAAACAGUCACAUGUUGCAGGAAUCUGCUGCUGGGGAAACAGCGCCUGCUGGUGGCCGAGAUCCACAGGAUAUUAUCAGCUCGUCACGUUUACAUCCGAAUACUGAGAGAGAUGAAACUCACACACCUGAGACUACCGCCGGACACACAGGUACACACACACACAUAUAUACAUACACUCACACUCAUACACAUACACAUACAAACACAUACACUUGCGCGCACACUUACUCUUGCACACUCCCACAUGGUUGUUGUGUUUGUGCUGGUCUGAGAGAAUGAAGGUCUGAAGCUGCUGUUAUUGGUCAGAUUCUUCAGCCGGAGCACCUAUCAGAACUGGAGACUGCCUCUGAGCUCCUGCAGGAACACGCCCAGUUCUUACUCGGUCACGCCCUCAUCCACAGUGCUCGACUGCGAUUGGUGGACUCUGCUUCUGAAAAUGCAGCAGCAGCGUACGAUGGACAAAAGGAGCAGCUGAAGGCGGCGGUGUGUGAGAGUAUGUGUGUGACGUCGGAUUCCGUCACGGCGUUCAUCAUAAACUACUACUUCCGGAUACGAACCGUCAUCAUGGCAACACAACACAGCUGCCAGCGCCAUCGCACCAGUCUGAGAAAGAGGCGGAGAAGAAGAGUGGAGUGUGUUCGAGCUCUACAGAAAGAACUGAGUGACUGGGCAAGAAAACCCCACUCUACUGAGUUCUACAAAAGAGUGGAGCAGCAGAAGCGGCGCUGUCUGUCUCAGUGUGAGGAGGAGGAGGAGGAGGAGGUGGAAGGUGUGUGUGUGUGUGGGUGUGCUUGUGAAUAGUGUGUGCGUGGUGUUUGUGUGUGUGUGUGUGUGUAAAUAAUAUGUGUGUGUGUGUGUGUGUGUGUGUGGGUAGAAAUUGUUUGAUGUUUUUUCAGGAAGUGUAGCUGACCUGUGGAGGGAGUGUCUACUGAGCACCCUCACUACAAGCUCCGCCCUCUCAGUGGAUAACUGUAAGAGACUGGUGGACAACACAGAGCUCAAACUGACCAAUCAGAUCCAGCGAGAGAGCCACACCCACCAGCAACUGCACAUACUGAGAGAACAUCUGCAGCAAGACAUACAGGUAAGUAUGGGCGGGGCUAAGCUACCGUAGACUGAAUUGAUGGGGCU